GUGUUGUAUGAAAGGAGAGAAGGUGAGCCCUUCCCUUGACACAGAAGAGGCCCUCGGGCCUGAUAACACAGAGUUCCCGGCAUUUCACUAUUUUUUUUU
Molecule: small nuclear RNA, 99 nt
Organism: Macaca fascicularis (crab-eating macaque)
Lineage: Eukaryota; Metazoa; Chordata; Mammalia; Primates; Cercopithecidae
Source: Ensembl